CUGGGUUGAUACCACACAGAAAACACCGUUUCACGUUCGAUUACCAAAGUUAAGCAGCGUCGAGUUAGCUCAGUACCUAGCUGAGAGACCGCUCGUGAACAGCAGAUACUGUAA
Acanthosepion pharaonis is the source of this 114-nucleotide non-coding RNA. NCBI's taxonomy places the organism in Eukaryota, Metazoa, Mollusca, Cephalopoda, Sepiida, Sepiidae. The record is from the annotation of a GenBank genome assembly.